ACGCAUCUCGAUUUUGUGACCGCUACAAGAGAGACACGCGGAAGGCAUGAUUUCGUUAGCAGCUUACUACGUGCCAUGUUAUAUGCAGCUUCACUUCACAAAGGUUGCUUUCAUGAUAUUUGCCAUGGCGUUUCCGAUAGCAGCCAACAGGCUGGACACAAAGCUUAAUCCAAAAGGUUGUGGUGUUUCUGAGCCGAUGGGGAGAAUAUACAAUGGCAAGCCGAUCGGCAGGGAGAACGUUCCCUGGAUGGU
Dermacentor silvarum is the source of this 252-nucleotide long non-coding RNA. RefSeq lists it as uncharacterized. The transcript has 3 exons. NCBI's taxonomy places the organism in Eukaryota, Metazoa, Arthropoda, Arachnida, Ixodida, Ixodidae. The record is from RefSeq and is a predicted model, not a curated record.